Molecule: long non-coding RNA, 2273 nt
Filed under: Nicotiana tabacum (common tobacco)
Lineage: Eukaryota; Viridiplantae; Streptophyta; Magnoliopsida; Solanales; Solanaceae
Description: long non-coding RNA (NTAB_LNC018968)
Source: RNAcentral
AGAGGAGGAGAGAAGCGUUGGCCGAAGAAAGAGGUGGAGAGACCAGCAAAGGAGCUCUGCAGAGCUGCCAUUCCAAAGGGCGUGCUUCAAAUCCUUUUGUGUAGUAAGAAAGAACACACAGGUGAGUUUUUGAGGAUAGGAUAAUAAACACCUUCUUCUUCUCUGUCCAGACAACCGAUCCGAAUGAUUGGACCUUGGACGGGUCGAGUCCGGCCCAACUAACAAAGAGCCUAUCCAAAUCUAAAACUGAUUUUGUUUGACCAACUUUGACAGAGGGGUGGGAAACUUGGGGAAAAGCAGUUAAAACCUGGAUUGAUUCAAAAUAUAUCUUGAUGCUUUCUAAUAAAAUUGGAUUGAACAGGAUGAUGUAGGAGUUCUUAAAUAGACCAUGUAGUUCACCAAUUCGUUUGAGGAACCACUUCUCGUGGUUAUUUGUCUUGUAUUUUUAUUAAUUUACUUAUAUGCAGUUUCUUAUCAUCUCUCGAAACAAAUUCAAAAAUAGCGAGUUUUACAAGUUGUCAUUCAAAAAUAGUCACAUUAAUCGAAAUUUAGCCAUUUUCAUUUAAAGAUAAAUCUGAAUAAAAAUACUGUUCAAAAUCUGGAAAAAUACUUCAGCAUAAUAUACUGGAGUUCCGGUAUAUUAUACUGGAACUCCAGGCUAAUAUACUGGAGUUCCAGUAUAAUAUACCGGUCCAGCAUAAUAUACUCCAGUCUCCAGUAUAUUAUACUGGAGCCAGCAAAGCAUACCGGUCCAGCAUAAUAUGCUGAAAGUUCAUACAUAGGUGUACCAAACUCCAGUAUAUUAUGCUGGACCGGUCUCUGUUGCGGGAAAAUAGUGGCUAUUUUUCAAUAACUUGGCAAAUGCUGGCUAUUUUUGAAUGACCAGUCCGAAAACUGGAUAGACCGUGCUAUUUUAACAAUUUUAAUAGGCGUAUUGAUAAGAGUACUACAAUGUAUUCAAUAGAAUAAUUAGAAAGAAAUUCAAAAAUAGCCAGAUUUACAAGUGGUCGUUCAAAAAUAGUCCAGUUUCAAAAGUAAUCAAAAUUUAGCCAUUUUUCAUGUAAAGAUAAAUUUGAAUGAAAACACUGUUCAAAAUCCGGAAAAAUACUCCAGCAUAAUAUAUUGGAGCCAACAAAGUAUACCGGUCCAGCAUAAUAUACUAGAAGUUCAUACACAGGUGCACCGAACUCCAGUAUAGUAUGUUGAACCGGUCUCUGUUGCAGCAAAAUAGUGGCUAUUUUUCAUUGACUUGGUAAACGCUAGCUAUUUUUGAAUGACCAGUUCGAAAACUGGCUAGACCGUGCUAUUUUUACGAAUAAUUAAGGUGUGAAGAAAUUAGCUGGGAUAUCAUUACUAUAACAAAAACUAAUUAGCUAAGAUGUUUUUACUUCCUAUUUUGCAAGAGAUCCAACUGUAGCUAGUAUCAGUUACUACCUUUCUUUUCUCUACAAAAAAGAAUGUAUCUUCUGAUGUUACAAUAUUUAAAUACUUCUCGAAUCAAACUUGCACUUAAAUUCCGACAACUUCUUGCCCUUUGCAAUCAUGUCAAAUCCUAUUAGACUACGAAAAAUAAUAAGUCUAAACUGCCUUCCAUAAACACAAUAGUACUAGAACGCAUUGGCUCAUUGAGGUAAUUCUAGCUCACGAAUAUUUUUAAGAGCAAAACAACAGCUAGUAAUACCGGAAAUUAGAUGCCAUUGUGCUUUCCUGCUAAUUCCAGCAAAGUCGUGUAAAUCCUACAAAUCCAGUCGGAAAAAAGAUACUUUUGGCUGUUGAAGAUGAUAUGAACAUCCAUAGAAUUGGAAAAUGCUGAUCCGGGCUUUUCCCCCUUUCCUUCUGCCAUUCAUUUACCUUCCACGCAAAUUUACAAAAAUUUAACAAAAUUGGAAAGAAAGAAAUGCUAUCUUACACGCAGACUAUAACAGAUCCUAAAUAUCCCAAUCGAACUCACCAAAGGCAAAAGUGUGUUGCGAAUGGAGAACCUAAUUUUACAAGAACAAAAGAAGAGGAAGAAGUAAACAGAAAAAAAAUAAACAAAUGGAAGAACUGAGUUAAACUUCACAUGAGUCAGCUGUGCUGUCCAUAGAUUCCCCCCGUCGGUGUCCAGAGUUUGGACUCCGAUGAUCUGGUUGUUCAACAUUGAUGGUAACCUCCUCUGCUGUUGCAGAUGAAGAACGCUUGUGACGCUUUCUGUCGUGUCUAGAUUUGAGUAUCCUUGACAGAACCUGCACAAUGUCCCUCAUGGAAGGCCGUUUCUUGGGGGCACGAUUCAC